GUGGUAAACGAAGUGGGAAGGCCCAGACAGCCAGGAUGUUGGCUUAGAAGCAGCCAUCAUUUAAAGAAAGCGUAAUAGCUCACUGGUCGAGUCGUCCUGCGCGGAAGAUGUAACGGGGCUCAAAUCUAUAACCGAAGCUGCGGAUGCCGGUUUACCGGCAUGGUAGGGGAGCGUUCUGUAGGCCGAUGAAGGUGCAUUGUAAAGUGUGCUGGAGGUAUCAGAAGUGCGAAUGUUGACAUGAGUAGCGAUAAAGCGGGUGAAAAGCCCGCUCGCCGAAAGCCCAAGGUUUCCUGCGCAACGUUCAUCGGCGUAGGGUGAGUCGGCCCCUAAGGCGAGGCAGAAAUGCGUAGUCGAUGGGAAACAGGUUAAUAUUCCUGUACUUGAUUCAAAUGCGAUGUGGGGACGGAGAAGGUUAGGUUGGCAAGCUGUUGGAAUAGCUUGUUUAAGCCGGUAGGUGGAAGACUUAGGCAAAUCCGGGUCUUCUUAACACCGAGAAGUGACGACGAGUGUCUACGGACACGAAGCAACCGAUACCACGCUUCCAGGAAAAGCCACUAAGCUUCAGUUUGAAUCGAACCGUACCGCAAACCGACACAGGUGGGCAGGAUGAGAAUUCUAAGGCGCUUGAGAGAACUCAGGAGAAGGAACUCGGCAAAUUGAUACCGUAACUUCGGGAGAAGGUAUGCCCUCUAAGGUUAAGGACUUGCUCCGUAAGCCCCGGAGGGUCGCAGAGAAUAGGUGGCUGCGACUGUUUAUUAAAAACACAGCACUCUGCUAACACGAAAGUGGACGUAUAGGGUGUGACGCCUGCCCGGUGCUGGAAGGUUAAUUGAAGAUGUGAGAGCAUCGGAUCGAAGCCCCAGUAAACGGCGGCCGUAACUAUAACGGUCCUAAGGUAGCGAAAUUCCUUGUCGGGUAAGUUCCGACCCGCACGAAUGGCGUAACGAUGGCCACACUGUCUCCUCCUGAGACUCAGCGAAGUUGAAGUGGUUGUGAAGAUGCAAUCUACCCGCUGCUAGACGGAAAGACCCCGUGAACCUUUACUGUAGCUUUGCAUUGGACUUUGAAGUCACUUGUGUAGGAUAGGUGGGAGGCUUAGAAGCAGAGACGCCAGUCUCUGUGGAGCCGUCCUUGAAAUACCACCCUGGUGUCUUUGAGGUUCUAACCCAGACCCGUCAUCCGGGUCGGGGACCGUGCAUGGUAGGCAGUUUGACUGGGGCGGUCUCCUCCCAAAGCGUAACGGAGGAGUUCGAAGGUUACCUAGGUCCGGUCGGAAAUCGGACUGAUAGUGCAAUGGCAAAAGGUAGCUUAACUGCGAGACCGACAAGUCGAGCAGGUGCGAAAGCAGGACAUAGUGAUCCGGUGGUUCUGUAUGGAAGGGCCAUCGCUCAACGGAUAAAAGGUACUCCGGGGAUAACAGGCUGAUUCCGCCCAAGAGUUCAUAUCGACGGCGGAGUUUGGCACCUCGAUGUCGGCUCAUCACAUCCUGGGGCUGUAGUCGGUCCCAAGGGUAUGGCUGUUCGCCAUUUAAAGUGGUACGUGAGCUGGGUUUAAAACGUCGUGAGACAGUUUGGUCCCUAUCUGCAGUGGGCGUUGGAAGUUUGACGGGGGCUGCUCCUAGUACGAGAGGACCGGAGUGGACGAACCUCUGGUGUACCGGUUGUAACGCCAGUUGCAUAGCCGGGUAGCUAAGUUCGGAAGAGAUAAGCGCUGAAAGCAUCUAAGCGCGAAACUCGCCUGAAGAUGAGACUUCCCUUGCGGUUUAACCGCACUAAAGAGUCGUUCGAGACCAGGACGUUGAUAGGUGGGGUGUGGAAGCGCGGUAACGCGUGAAGCUAACCCAUACUAAUUGCUCGUGAGGCUUGACU
This 1868-nucleotide ribosomal RNA is filed under the name Neisseria meningitidis 69166. RNAcentral describes it as "bacterial LSU rRNA". It matches the Rfam family "Bacterial large subunit ribosomal RNA", at positions 1063 to 2925 of the family's 2925-position model. Lineage: Bacteria; Pseudomonadati; Pseudomonadota; Betaproteobacteria; Neisseriales; Neisseriaceae. The record is from RNAcentral.